Molecule: ribosomal RNA, 454 nt
Filed under: uncultured Prevotella sp.
Lineage: Bacteria; Pseudomonadati; Bacteroidota; Bacteroidia; Bacteroidales; Prevotellaceae
Description: partial 16S ribosomal RNA
Rfam family: Bacterial small subunit ribosomal RNA
Source: RNAcentral
ACGGGAGGCAGCAGUGAGGAAUAUUGGUCAAUGGGCGGAAGCCUGAACCAGCCAAGUAGCGUGCAGGAUGACGGCCCUAUGGGUUGUAAACUGCUUUUGUGCGGGGAUAAAAAGCGGGACGUGUCCCGCCUUGUAGGUACCGCAAGAAAAAGGACCGGCUAAUUCCGUGCCAGCAGCCGCGGUAAUACGGAAGGUCCGGGCGUUAUCCGGAUUUAUUGGGUUUAAAGGGUGCGCAGGCGGCACGUUAAGUCAGCGGUGAAAUGCAGGGGCUCAACCCCGGCACUGCCGUUGAAACUGGCGAGCUCGAGUACGGAUGAAGUCGGCGGAAUGUGAUGUGUAGCGGUGAAAUGCUUAGAUAUGUCACAGAACACCGAUUGCGAAGGCAGCUGACUAAUCCGCAACUGACGCUCAGGCACGAAAGCGUGGGGAUCGAACAGGAUUAGAUACCCUGGUA